UAGAGUUUGAUCCUGGCUCAGGACGAACGCUGGCGGCGUGCCUAAUGCAUGCAAGUCGAGCGGGCUACAGUCUUCGGAUUGUAGCUUAGCGGCGAACGGGUGAGUAACACGUAGGUAAUCUACCCUUCAGAGGAGGACAACCUCAGGAAACUGAGGCUAAACCUUCAUACGUUCACUGGUAGGGAUACUGGUGAAGAAAGAGUUACCGUUGAGGUAGCUGCUGAAGGAUGAGCCUGCGGCCCAUCAGGUAGUUGGUGAGGUAACGGCUCACCAAGCCGAAGACGGGUAACCGGUCUGAGAGGAUGUCCGGUCACACUGGGACUGAGACACGGCCCAGACUCCUACGGGAGGCAGCAGCAGGGAAUCUUGGGCAAUGGGCGAAAGCCUGACCCAGCGACGCCGCGUGGAGGAAGAAGUCCUUCGGGGCGUAAACUCCUGGACUGGGGGACGAGGAAGGACGGUACCCCAGUAGAAAGGGACGGCUAACUACGUGCCAGCAGCCGCGGUAAUACA
This 513-nucleotide ribosomal RNA is filed under the name Thermoanaerobacteraceae bacterium 91bM. RNAcentral describes it as "bacterial SSU rRNA". It matches the Rfam family "Bacterial small subunit ribosomal RNA", at positions 1 to 527 of the family's 1533-position model. Lineage: Bacteria; Bacillati; Bacillota; Clostridia; Thermoanaerobacterales; Thermoanaerobacteraceae. The record is from RNAcentral.